This 506-nucleotide ribosomal RNA is filed under the name uncultured bacterium. Its description in RNAcentral is "partial 16S ribosomal RNA". It matches the Rfam family "Bacterial small subunit ribosomal RNA", at positions 29 to 523 of the family's 1533-position model. The record is from RNAcentral.
AGUGAACGCUGGCGGUAGGCCUAACACAUGCAAGUCGAACGGCAGCACAGGAGAGCUUGCUCUCUGGGUGGCGAGUGGCGGACGGGUGAGGAAUACAUCGGAAUCUACUCUGUCGUGGGGGAUAACGUAGGGAAACUUACGCUAAUACCGCAUACGACCUACGGGUGAAAGCAGGGGACCUUCGGGCCUUGCGCGAUUGAAUGAGCCGAUGUCGGAUUAGCUAGUUGGCGGGGUAAAGGCCCACCAAGGCGACGAUCCGUAGCUGGUCUGAGAGGAUGAUAAGCCACACUGGAACUGAGACACGGUCCAGACUCCGACGGGAGGCAUCAGUGGGGAAUAUUGGACAAUGGGCGCGAGCCUGAUCCAGCCAUACCGCGUGGGUGAAGAAGGCCUUCGGUUUGUAAAGCCCUUUUGUUGGGAAAGAAAUCCAGCUGGCUAAUACCCGGUUGGGAUGACGGUACCCAAAGAAUAAGCACCGGCUAACUUCGUGCCAGCCGCCGCAGUAA